This 433-nucleotide ribosomal RNA is filed under the name uncultured bacterium. RNAcentral's name for it is "partial 16S ribosomal RNA". It matches the Rfam family "Bacterial small subunit ribosomal RNA", at positions 29 to 507 of the family's 1533-position model. The record is from RNAcentral.
AACGAACGCUGGCGGCAUGCCUAACACAUGCAAGUCGAACGAGACCUUCGGGUCUAGUGGCGCACGGGUGCGUAACGCGUGGGAACCUGCCCUUAGGUUCGGAAUAACUCCCCGAAAGGGGUGCUAAUACCGGAUAAUGUCUUCUGACCAAAGAUUUAUCGCCUUUGGAUGGGCCCUCGUUGGAUUAGCUAGUUGUUAGGGUAAUAGCCUACCAAGGCGACGAUCCAUAGCUGGGCUGAGAGGAUGAUCAGCCACACUGGGACUGAGACACGGCCCAGACUCUUCCGGGAUGCAGCAGUGGGGAAUAUUGGAAAACGGGCGAAAGGCUGAUGCAGCAAUGACGCGUGAGUGAUGAAGGCCUGAGGGUUGUAAAGCUCUUUUACCCGGGAUGAUAAUGACAGUACCGAGAGAAUAAGCUCCGGCUAACUCCGUG